CCUACGGGAGACUGCAGUGAGGAAUAUUGGUCAAUGGGCGCGAGCCUGAACCAGCCAAGUAGCGUGAGGGAUGACUGCCCUACGGAUUGUAAACUUCUUUUAUAAGGGAAUAAAGUGUGGCACGUGUGCCUUUUUGUAUGUACUUUAUGAAUAAGGAUCGGCUAACUCCGUGCCAGCAGCCGCGGUAAUACGGAGGAUCCGAGCGUUAUCCGGAUUUAUUGGGUUUAAAGGGUACGUAGGCGGGCUUUUAAGUCAGUGGUGAAAGUUUGUGGCUCAACCGUAGAAUUGCCAUUGAAACUGGGAGUCGUGAGUAUAUUUGAGGCAGGCGGAAUGCGUGGUGUAGCGGUGAAAUGCUUAGAUAUCACGCAGAACCCCGAUUGCGAAGGCAGCCUACCAAGC
RNAcentral lists this ribosomal RNA (399 nucleotides) under uncultured bacterium. RNAcentral's name for it is "partial 16S ribosomal RNA". It matches the Rfam family "Bacterial small subunit ribosomal RNA", at positions 338 to 734 of the family's 1533-position model. The record is from RNAcentral.